GAAAGUUUCAAACCCAAGCUGCCAAUGUAUCCCUCUAAAGCCUGCAAAAAACAAAAAGGGAUUUGUUAUAGGUAUUACUUUUGUCAGCAAAAACCAUCCACAGAGAUAUAAUUAAUACCCCUUUUCUGAGUGUUAUCUAAAGUAAUGAUCUUUUACAACCCAUAAUGAGGAAGGAUUUCUGGGGGCUUUUCACAUCAACAACCCGUGAGAGAGGUGUGGACUAUUACUGAUAUGAAAUUUAUAAAGGUUGGAGCAACCGGGAGCCUCUCUUGCUUUACCGGAGGUUUCACAAGGAAAGUUCUCUUUCUUUUUUGAUUAUUAUUGAAAGGGUGAGAUUUCUUACUACUUUUUACUUUUUUGUGUCUAUGAUUCCUGGGUUUUUGGAGUAUUCUUUCAUUGCUUGUUUGCUUCCUUCUGCAUAGACCAUAUUUUUUUGGUCUGGGAUUUGAAUUGGUUCUCUGUUGAGUUUGCUUGCUUAUGUUAAUUUUUCUUGUGCUGAAAAUUUCCAACAGGCUCUUUUGUAGGUUAUUUCCAAUGGAGAUUUCUUCCAUUAGCGGAUUAAGUGAACUGGAAAUGGAGGAACCCAGCUUCAUAGACCAAUGGCCCAUGAACUCCAUUGAUGAUCUGAGCAUAUUACCGCUAGUAGCUGCAUUUGGGGAGAACAUGCAGCAUUCUUUAUCUCAUCACCCAAGUUUCAACCUCAAAACCUCCAUGGAAAUUUCUCCUACAGGCAUUGUUAGACCCUCAAAGCAACUGAAACCAAAUGGCUUCAAUUCAAGCAAAACUACAGAUUAUAAUUUGUCAAACCCACAAGUUGCUUUUUCCCCAAAUAUUCUUUCCUUUGGCAAUUCCACCAACCAGAAUCAAAUGGGAAUAGUGAAGCCUAAGGAGGAGGCUGUUUGUUCUAAAAGCAUCAAUACCCUCCCUUCUGAUAUACUGGCUUCUCCAGGCAACCAAAACUAUAUGUUUAAGGCUUGUCAGGGAGCCAAGAGGAUCAGUGACAACAGCAGCAGGCAUUCUCAAACCCAGGAUCACAUCAUAGCAGAAAGGAAGAGAAGAGAGAAGCUAAGCCAGAGAUUCAUAGCUUUGUCUGCUAUAGUUCCUGGCCUCAAGAAGAUGGAUAAGGCUUCUGUUCUUGGGGAUGCUAUCAAGUACUUGAAACAAUUGCAAGACAGAGUCCAGACACUUGAGGAGCAAACAAAGAAAAAAGCCAUGGAAUCUGUAGUCAUUGUGAAGAAAUCUCAGCUCUUUUGUGAGGAUGAAAGUUCUUCCUCAGAUGAGAUUUUCUCCAAAGGCCCUGUCGAUGAGCCUCUGCCGGAAAUUGAAGCAAGAAUCUGCGACAAAGAAGUGCUUAUAAGAAUUCACUGUGAGAAAAGGAAAGGAGUUCUGGAGAAAACUAUAGCAGAAAUUGAGAAACUUCACCUUUCAGUGGUCAAUAGCAGUGUUCUAACAUUUGGGAGUUCUGCUCUUGAUGUUACAAUCAUUGCUGAGAUGGAUAUGGAAUUUGGCAUGUCAGUGAAGGAUCUUGUGAUGAAUCUACACUCAGCUUUCAAGUUAUUCAUGUGAAGAAUCCCCAAGUAUUUUCAGUUCUUAUAAUAUGCAAGAAUCUCUUAUUUAAGUUCUAUGCUUCUGCUGGAAAGUUUGAGAGAUGCUAGAAAUAAGUCUCCUAUAGCUGUACACAGUUA
This 1685-nucleotide unclassified non-coding RNA is filed under the name Hevea brasiliensis (rubber tree). The record is from RNAcentral. Lineage: Eukaryota; Viridiplantae; Streptophyta; Magnoliopsida; Malpighiales; Euphorbiaceae.